Non-coding RNA from Carica papaya (papaya), 499 nucleotides. The record is from RefSeq and is a predicted model, not a curated record. NCBI's taxonomy places the organism in Eukaryota, Viridiplantae, Streptophyta, Magnoliopsida, Brassicales, Caricaceae.
UAAGAAGAUUGGAACAAAGUGCUGGCAGAAAAAUAAAUCUUCAAGUCCAUUGCAUCAAGUAUUAGAUGAGCAAAAUAGGUAUAACAUUAUAAUAAUUUAUUAACCAUUUCUUACUAAUUAAAAAGAUUUACAGUAUCAAGUAAUUAAUGAUUAUACAAAACUACUAAAUUAUUACGUGGAGAAAUGGUACUUUCAGUGCACUGUAUGGUAGACACCCUGAUUAGGUUGGUAGGAAACAAGGUUUAGCAAAUUGCAGCCGCAAGGAUGUAUACCCUCAACCGUUGCAACCAAAAGCCAGGCUGAGUAGGGGUUUCUUCCCCGUAACAAGUAGCUAAUGAGUAAUGCUUUUUGUCUGCAUUUGAGACUCCCCCCUCUCCUUGGAUGCUUUUUCUUUUUUCUCUCUCUCUAAACCCAAAUGAAGAAAAGUAAUGGGUCUAGAGGGAUGCGUCUAAUCUCGCUCGAGCAUAAAGGAGAAAAGGGAUAUGUAACAAAGAAAGAU